This is a non-coding RNA of Gorilla gorilla gorilla (western lowland gorilla), 561 nucleotides long. NCBI's taxonomy places the organism in Eukaryota, Metazoa, Chordata, Mammalia, Primates, Hominidae. The record is from the annotation of a RefSeq genome assembly.
CCUGUUCCCCUUUCAUCAACACACAGACCCAGAAGACCUCUCUGUCUUGUAGCAUCUGCCAUGAGCGUCAGGCUCCUGUGCUGUGUGGCCUUUUCUCUCCUGUGGGCAGGUCCAAUGAUUGCUGGGAUCACCCAGGCACCAACAUCUCAGAUCCUGGCAGCAGGACGGAGCAUGACACUGAGAUGUACCCAGGAUAUGAGACAUAAUGCUAUGUACUGGUAUAGACAAGAUCUAGGACUGGGGCUAAGGCUCAUCCAUUAUUCAAAUACUGCAGGUACCACUGGCAAAGGAGAAGUCCCUGAUGGUUAUAGUGUCUCCAGAGCAAACACAGAUGAUUUCCCCCUCAUGUUGGCAUCUGCUGUACCCUCUCAGACAUCUGUGUACUUCUGUGCCAGCAGUGACUCCACAGUGCUGCACAGCCAUCUCCUCUCUGGUUUCCUCCAGUACCCACUCUCAUGUGGUCUCACCUGUGGCCCGCCUUUCCCAUCUGAGCAGUCACCCCUGAAGGCUUUGCUGGGCCUCUCCACACCACCUCCCCUCGCCUUUCUACUGCAGCCAUGA